AUGGGUUUGGCCAACUGGAACGCCGUGGUUGGCCAUCAGUUGAUGGAUUUGGCCAAUGGAACAUUGGGCGCUGGGUUUGGCCAACUGGAACACCGUCAUUCGUCAUUGGUUGAUGGGUUUGGCCAACUGGGAUGCUGUGGUUGGCCAUCGACUGAUGGGUUUGGUCAACAGAAGAUUGUCCAAAAGGGUUUGGCCAACUGGAACGCCGUGAUUGGUUAUUGGUUGAUGGGUUUGGCCAACUGGGACACUGUGGUUGGUCAUGGACUGAAAGGUUUGGUCAACUGGACAUUGGGCAAUGGGUUUGGCCAACUGGGACGCUGUGGUUGGCCAUCGACCGAUGGAUUUGGCCAACUGGUACGCCGUGGCUUGUGAUUGACUGAAGGGUUUGGCCAACGGAACAUUGUCCAAUGGGUUUGGCCAACUGGAAUGCCAUCAUUCGUCACUGGUUGAUGGGUUCAGCCAACUGGGAUGCUGUGGUUGGACAUCGGUUGAUGGAUUUGGCCAACAGAACAUUGGGCGAUGGGUUUGGCUGUUGGGAACACCAUUUUUAGUCAUUGGCUGAUGGGUUUGGCCAACUGGAACACCAUCGUUUGUCACUGGUUGAUGGGUUUGGCCAACUGGAACGCCGUGAUUCAUCAUUGGCCACUGGAUUUGGCCAACUGGGACACCUCGGUUGGUCAUUGGCUGAUAGAUUUGGCCAAAAGAACGUUGUCCAAUCAGUUUGGCCAACUGGAGCGCCGCGAUUGGUCAUCGACUGAUGGGUUUAGCCAAUCAGAACGCCGUGGCUCACCGCUGGCUCAUGGUUCGGCCAAUCAGACGUUGACUGCGGGGUUUGGCCAACCGUCAUUGGCCGAUGGGUUUGGCGACCUGCAACGCCGUGGCUUGUGAUUGGCUGAUGGGUUUGGCCAACUGGAACGCUGCCCCUUGUGAUUGGCCGAUGGAUUUGGGCAGCCAGCUGAUUGGAUGGCCCCUUGGGGCGGCUCCUUGCCAUUGGACGAGGGGCUCGGCCGUCGUGGGUGCCGAAGAUCCUGAUUGGACGACGGCCUCGGCCACCUGGAGACCUCGGCUUCUCAUUGGACAACGGUUCAGCCAGGGGGCGUGGCUC
This 1105-nucleotide long non-coding RNA is filed under the name Anas platyrhynchos platyrhynchos (common mallard). RNAcentral describes it as "lncRNA (ENSAPLG00000019393.1)". The record is from RNAcentral. Lineage: Eukaryota; Metazoa; Chordata; Aves; Anseriformes; Anatidae.